UCUGUCUGUCUGUCUGUCUGUCUGUCUGUCUGUCUGUCUGUCUCUCUCUAGCGGUUGGUUUAUACGUGAAGAGCAGUGAACCGCUGAACGUCGUUGCUAACCUAGUGAACGGUAACCGUGGCGCCGGUGUUGCCGUGCUACAGAGCGGUCAGCUGACUCGACUAGUUGCUAACUGCGUCCAUGGAAACGGUCGCGGUGGCGUCACCGUGGAGAGGGAGUGUCGGGUGGAACUCCGUGGCAACGGCGUGUAUGACAACUGCGGCCAUGGCGUUAGUUUCCGGGGCGAUGGACAGGUGGUGGAGAACGACGUGGUGGGUAACCGUGGUUACGGGAUACGGUUGUCGGACAGCGCCGACGUCAAGGUGUUGCGUAAUCGAGUCCAGCCGGUGCAGGGGUGUGGCAUCGCCGUGCUGGGGCCGGCAAAGGCCGUCGUCCACGACAACCUGGUGUUCCAGGGUCACCCCGGCAACGUCAAACCCCCGCUACACCG
This is a long non-coding RNA of Oncorhynchus tshawytscha (Chinook salmon), 490 nucleotides long. RefSeq lists it as uncharacterized. Lineage: Eukaryota; Metazoa; Chordata; Actinopteri; Salmoniformes; Salmonidae. The record is from RefSeq and is a predicted model, not a curated record. The transcript is spliced from 2 exons.